UUCUUCGACCUUCCCACCACAAAUACACAUGAAACGGGUUGGGGCAUGCAAUCAUUCAUGCAUCUUCAUCACCCGUAGAGGGAUUUUAAUUGUCCAUCUCCUUCCGGUGACGGGACAAACUGGAGCCCUCUCCGCCACCACCGCUCCACCGGACGCCUGCUCGGCGAAUCUGAGUUGAAUCCCUCACCUUGACUCAUCUCCUUCCGGUACCAUGUGGCGGCUGGACGGGACAAAUCUGCAGGCAUAUCGCCGCGGCCACCGCGCAGCCUCUGCAGCUGCAUAUUCGAUGGGACUUGGUGCAGGUGCAGAUAGGAGCAAGAUGGCUUAUAAUAUUAUCAAGAAAUUAACGACUUGGGUUGUGGUCUUUAUUAGGUUCGAUUUCUUUCUGGUCUGUAGUCCAACUGCUCCGAACUACACACAAUUUGAAGGCCAACAAGCUGACCUGGUGAUCUUCGGACAGAGACGCUGUUGUCAUUGAUCCAAGCUUCUACCACAGAUAAUCAAUGUUUUGCAUGCCUUAUCCCGGAAGGUUUUUCUUUUUGCCGGCCUUUAUGCCCCCUCGGUUCUUUCAUGUGGGAGCUCAUGUUCACGGUGGUGUAUAUAUCCAGAGCAAUUCCUUUCUUACCGCUUGGUACCCUUGAUUGCUAUUCCUUCAUUCAGCUUACAAUGUUUUCUGA
Molecule: long non-coding RNA, 677 nt
Organism: Triticum dicoccoides
Lineage: Eukaryota; Viridiplantae; Streptophyta; Magnoliopsida; Poales; Poaceae
Exons: 3
Source: RefSeq, a predicted model, not a curated record